GACGAACGCUGGCGGCGUGCUUAACACAUGCAAGUCGAACGGAAAGGCCCUGCUCUUGUGGGGUGCUCGAGUGGCGCACGGGUGUGUAACACGUGAGUAACCUGCCCUUGACUUUGGGGUAACUUCAGGAAACUGGGGCUAAUACCGGAGAGGAGCUCCUGCUGCAUGGUGGUGGUUGGAAAGUUUCGGCGGUUGGGGAUGGACUCGCGGCUUAUCAGCUUGUUUGUGGGGUAGUGGCUGACGAAGCCUUUGACGGGUAGCCUGCCUGGGAGGGGUGACGGGCACAAGAGGACUACGGGAGGGAGCAGAAGCGUACGGGAGGCAGUAGGCGAGAGCCUGGCGGAAUGAGGGGGAGCGUGAGACGGAGACGUCGCGUGCGGGAUGCCGUGUUUCGGGUUAUGAACCGAUUUGGAAUGAGACGAAGCGUGAGUGACGGUAAUGGGUAAAGAAGCACCGGCUAACUACGUG
This 468-nucleotide ribosomal RNA is filed under the name uncultured bacterium. Its description in RNAcentral is "partial 16S ribosomal RNA". It matches the Rfam family "Bacterial small subunit ribosomal RNA", at positions 28 to 507 of the family's 1533-position model. The record is from RNAcentral.